Molecule: ribosomal RNA, 429 nt
Filed under: Gemmatimonadota bacterium
Lineage: Bacteria; Pseudomonadati; Gemmatimonadota
Description: Gemmatimonadetes bacterium partial 16S ribosomal RNA
Rfam family: Bacterial small subunit ribosomal RNA
Source: RNAcentral
UAGGGAAUCUUCGGCAAUGGACGAAAGUCUGACCGAGCAACGCCGCGUGAGUGAAGAAGGUUUUCGGAUCGUAAAACUCUGUUGUUAGAGAAGAACAAGGACGUUAGUAACUGAACGUCCCCUGACGGUAUCUAACCAGAAAGCCACGGCUAACUACGUGCCAGCAGCCGCGGUAAUACGUAGGUGGCAAGCGUUGUCCGGAUUUAUUGGGCGUAAAGCGAGCGCAGGCGGUUUCUUAAGUCUGAUGUGAAAGCCCCCGGCUCAACCGGGGAGGGUCAUUGUAAACUGGGAGACUUGAGUGCAGAAGAGGAGAGUGGAAUUCCAUGUGUAGCGGUGAAAUGCGUAGAUAUAUGGAGGAACACCAGUUGCGAACGCGGCUCUCUGGUCUGUAACUGACGCUGAGGCUCGAAAGCGUGGGGAGCAAACAGG